Molecule: long non-coding RNA, 2389 nt
Organism: Acanthochromis polyacanthus (spiny chromis)
Lineage: Eukaryota; Metazoa; Chordata; Actinopteri; Pomacentridae
Exons: 8
Source: RefSeq, a predicted model, not a curated record
AAGGAGUCAUAGUUCCACUAAUCAGGAGAUCGAGAAGGAGUCAUAGUUCCACUCAUCAGGAGGUCUAGAAGGAGUCAUAGUACCACUAAUCAGGAGGUCUAGAAGGAGUCAUAGUUCCACUAAUCAGGAGGUCUAGAAGGAGUCAUAGUACCACUAAUCAGGAGGUCUAGAAGGAGUCAUAGUACCACUAAUCAGGAGGUCUAGAAGGAGUCAUAGUUCCACUAAUCAGGAGGUCUAGAAGGAGUCAUAGUACCACUAAUCAGGAGGUCUAGAAGGAGUCAUAGUACCACUAAUCAGGAGGUCCAGAAGGAGUCAUAGUUCCACUAAUCAGGAGGUCUAGAAGGAGUCAUAGUACCACUAAUCAGGAGGUCUAGAAGGAGUCAUAGUACCACUAAUCAGGAGGUCUAGAAGGAGUCAUAGUUCCACUAAUCAGGAGGUCUAGAAGGAGUCAUAGUACCACUAAUCAGGAGGUCUAGAAGGAGUCAUAGUUCCACUAAUCAGGAGGUCUAGAAGGAGUCAUAGUUCCACUAAUCAGGGGGUCUAGAAGGAGUCAUAGUUCCACUAAUCAGGAGGUCUAGAAGGAGUCAUAGUUCCACUAAUCAGGGGGUCUAGAAGGAGUCAUAGUUCCACUAAUCAGGGGGUCUAGAAGGAGUCAUAGUUCCACUAAUCAGGAGGUCUAGAAGGAGUCAUAGUUCCACUAAUCAGGAGGUCUAGAAGGAGUCAUAGUUCCACUAAUCAGGGGGUCUAGAAGGAGUCAUAGUUCCACUAAUCAGGAGGUCUAGAAGGAGUCAUAGUUCCACUAAUCAGGGGGUCUAGAAGGAGACAUAGUAGCACUAAUCAGAACUUCCAGAUGAAAGUUUGCUGAUGAACAGGAGAAGAAGCCUGAUUUCUUUGGUCAGAUGAAGAUCAAUGAGUUGGGCUCAGAUGGAGUCCAGAUGUUUGGUAAGAACCUGACCAGGACUACCACAGUGGAUGCAUGGUCCUGACAGUGAAGCAGGAGGUGGGAGUGUGAUGGUAUCCUCGUAAAUACUCUAUUUAAAGGUAAUCUGAUUACUGUGAGGUCCAACAUUUUAAGAUCAUUUUAGUCUGAGGUGAUGUUUCUCUGUUGUUGGUUCUUUGUUCUCAGUUAUCUCAGUAUUUUUUAUCAGUAUUUACAUAAAAUAUUGUGUUUAUUAAACAUUUUUCCUAUUAAAUGUUAUGUAAAUUAAGUAUUAUGUGGGUUCUGCUGGUUCUGAUGACUAACUGGACCGUCAGCGUUCCUUCAUCUGAUCUUGUGACCAUCAUCAUGAGUUCAUGUGACCAUCAGUCUGGUUGGUUUCUCUUCAGUCAUCAUGUUUAUUUCCUCCAGUUUUACUUCAUUUCUGACCCUUCUGACCAGAAGCAUGACAACGAUAGAAACCAGCUGAGUCACAAACUGGUGAUUCAGCUGAUGAAGACACAAACAAGGAAACAUCUGCAGCUCGUUUCAGGACUUUAACUCAAAUAAAGUGAGGAAAAAGUGAUUCACAGUGAAAACUGUUGAGCAGCAGCUGAACAGAAUUACAUUAAAGUAGGUCAGGGUCAACCAGCUAACCGUCUGUUUACCAGGCAACAGCCACCGCUACCUUCAGGCUGAAACAGGAAGUGGUUUUCAGACACUCAGCUCGUCUUCUGCAUGAACCGUUUGUGGUUAAAAAUUGUGUUUCUAAAGUGUCUGAAGAUUCUCUGUAACCGAGAAUUAAAGGAACUCGGAGCAACUGCUUUACUGGGAUUUAAAGACCAGAAAACCACUAGAGGAGACCAACUCUGGUCAGAGAAGAAGUUCAUUAAACCUGAUUUAGUUCCAGUUCUCUCAGUGGAAACAGCCCAUGUCUUAGGAACUCCAGCUUCUGCUCUUUGAAGCUCUUUAGCUGAUCUUCUGGUUCCUCCUCCCUCAGAGCAGCUGAACCUGCUGCUGCAUCGACCACGUCUUUACAGCUUCCAGAUUUUAGUCUCAUUUUAUAUUUAUAUGCUCACUUCACUGUUUACCUGCACACUAAUUUAAUAGAAAGUUUACCUGAAUAUUAGUUUAAUAAAAAACUUUCACAUCUAAUGGAGAUUUAAAAUAAGAAGAUUCACAGUUUAGCAUCAGUUUAUAUCACAUAAUGAAGUCCCUGAAAAGUCCACCUGUUCAGGUAUCGUCUACCUGUCCAGGUGUGGUCCAGGUGUCCAGGUGUGGUCCAGAUGUGUCCAGGUGUCCAGGUGUGGUUCAGGUGUGGUCCAGGUGUCCAGGUGUGGUUCAGGUGUGGUCCAGGUGUCCAGAUGUGUCCAGGUGUGUCCGUCAGCAGUGAGGAAGCUGAACUUUGUAGUAAACUUCGGCUGCAGCAGCAGCAGGGACUCUGCUGGUGGGAAACCGGAUCUCCUCGUACUG